Molecule: ribosomal RNA, 568 nt
Filed under: uncultured Burkholderia sp.
Lineage: Bacteria; Pseudomonadati; Pseudomonadota; Betaproteobacteria; Burkholderiales; Burkholderiaceae
Description: bacterial SSU rRNA
Rfam family: Bacterial small subunit ribosomal RNA
Source: RNAcentral
CGGGUGAGUAAUACAUCGGAACGUGUCCUGGAGUGGGGGAUAGCCCGGCGAAAGCCGGAUUAAUACCGCAUACGCUCUGUGGAGGAAAGCGGGGGAUCUUCGGACCUCGCGCUCAAGGGGCGGCCGAUGGCAGAUUAGCUAGUUGGUGGGGUAAAGGCCUACCAAGGCGACGAUCUGUAGCUGGUCUGAGAGGACGACCAGCCACACUGGGACUGAGACACGGCCCAGACUCCUACGGGAGGCAGCAGUGGGGAAUUUUGGACAAUGGGGGCAACCCUGAUCCAGCAAUGCCGCGUGUGUGACGAAGGCCUUCGGGUUGUAAAGCACUUUUGUCCGGAAAGACAGCCUCGUCGCUAAUACCGAAGGGGGAUGACGGUACCGGAAGAAUAAGCACCGGCUAACUACGUGCCAGCAGCCGCGGUAAUACGUAGGGUGCGAGCGUUAAUCGGAAUUACUGGGCGUAAAGCGUGCGCAGGCGGUUCGCUAAGACCGAUGUGAAAUCCCCGGGCUUAACCUGGGAACUGCAUUGGUGACUGGCGGGCUAGAGUAUGGCAGAGGGGGGUAGAAU